This 1346-nucleotide ribosomal RNA is filed under the name uncultured bacterium. RNAcentral's name for it is "partial 16S ribosomal RNA". It matches the Rfam family "Bacterial small subunit ribosomal RNA", at positions 28 to 1381 of the family's 1533-position model. The record is from RNAcentral.
GACGAACGCUGGCGGCGUGCUUAACACAUGCAAGUCGAACGGAAAGGCCCUGCUUUUGUGGGGUGCUCGAGUGGCGAACGGGUGAGUAACACGUGAGUAACCUGCCCUUGACUUUGGGAUAACUUCAGGAAACUGGGGCUAAUACCGGAUAGGAGCUCCUGCCGCAUGGUGGGGGUUGGAAAGUUUCGGCGGUUGGGGAUGGACUCGCGGCUUAUCAGCUUGUUGGUGGGGUAGUGGCUUACCAAGGCUUUGACGGGUAGCCGGCCUGAGAGGGUGACCGGCCACAUUGGGACUGAGAUACGGCCCAGACUCCUACGGGAGGCAGCAGUGGGGAAUAUUGCACAAUGGGCGGAAGCCUGAUGCAGCAACGCCGCGUGCGGGAUGACGGCCUUCGGGUUGUAAACCGCUUUCGCCUGUGACGAAGCGUGAGUGACGGUAAUGGGUAAAGAAGCACCGGCUAACUACGUGCCAGCAGCCGCGGUGAUACGUAGGGUGCGAGCGUUGUCCGGAUUUAUUGGGCGUAAAGGGCUCGUAGGUGGUUGAUCGCGUCGGAAGUGUAAUCUUGGGGCUUAACCCUGAGCGUGCUUUCGAUACGGGUUGACUUGAGGAAGGUAGGGGAGAAUGGAAUUCCUGGUGGAGCGGUGGAAUGCGCAGAUAUCAGGAGGAACACCAGUGGCGAAGGCGGUUCUCUGGGCCUUUCCUGACGCUGAGGAGCGAAAGCGUGGGGAGCGAACAGGCUUAGAUACCCUGGUAGUCCACGCUGUAAACGGUGGGUACUAGGUGUGGGGUCCAUUCCACGGGUUCCGUGCCGUAGCUAACGCUUUAAGUACCCCGCCUGGGGAGUACGGCCGCAAGGCUAAAACUCAAAGGAAUUGACGGGGCCCCGCACAAGCGGCGGAGCAUGCGGAUUAAUUCGAUGCAACGCGUAGAACCUUACCUGGGUUUGACAUGGAUCGGGAGUGCUCAGAGAUGGGUGUGCCUCUUUUGGGGUCGGUUCACAGGUGGUGCAUGGCUGUCGUCAGCUCGUGUCGUGAGAUGUUGGGUUAAGUCCCGCAACGAGCGCAACCCUUGUUCACUGUUGCCAGCACGUUAUGGUGGGGACUCAGUGGAGACCGCCGGGGUCAACUCGGAGGAAGGUGGGGAUGACGUCAAGUCAUCAUGCCCCUUAUGUCCAGGGCUUCACGCAUGCUACAAUGGCUGGUACAGAGAGUGGCGAGCCUGUGAGGGUGAGCGAAUCUCGGAAAGCCGGUCUCAGUUCGGAUUGGGGUCUGCAACUCGACCUCAUGAAGUCGGAGUCGCUAGUAAUCGCAGAUCAGCAACGCUGCGGUGAAUACGUUCCCGGGGCU